Molecule: long non-coding RNA, 671 nt
Organism: Drosophila miranda
Lineage: Eukaryota; Metazoa; Arthropoda; Insecta; Diptera; Drosophilidae
Exons: 3
Source: RefSeq, a predicted model, not a curated record
CUCCUUGUGUCGUCUAACUUGAAGAGUAUACAAUCUUCGGCAGGCAGAAGCUUUUCUACUGGUUUUAACCUUGUUAACCUUAAAUUAUUUUAGAUAUUCUACCUAGCAUGCCAUACAUUUUUCCCACACAUGCCGAAAUGAUUACUGAAGUCAUCAAAAAUACUGUGAAAACUUCUUUAUAUUAUCUGGUGUACAUCUUUAGAAAUUCUUAAUGUCAUGGGAGAGUGAUCACCCUUAAUGCACGCAUACUACUGGUGGAAUCCGAUCUACCUACAUAUGUAUGUAUCUUUGUGUAUAUUGCAGAGUCUUAUGAGCCCGGAAGGAACCAUAUCCGAUCCGAUAUAUUUAUAUAUGUAUAAAUAUACAUAUAUGAUUUAUGUAAACAUACUUACAUAUAUGAUAUUGAGAAAUAAAUUACAGUUUCAAAGAAGAUUAUGUACCUCACUCAGUCUAACGUAUAGAUUAUUUCAAGUACUUGGGCUAUGAGAAAAACACAUACUAGCUUUAACUUUACACACUUAUUCUUGAAGACUGUGAGAACUUCUUUAAAUUGUCUGGUGUACGUCUUAAGAAAUUCUUAAAGUCAUGGGAGAGUGAUCACAGUCAAUGCCUGCUACCUGGUGUGAUCGUAGAGUCAGUAGAGCGAAGUUAAAGAAUUUAUAUACGCUUAA